Molecule: ribosomal RNA, 427 nt
Filed under: uncultured bacterium
Lineage: Bacteria
Description: partial 16S ribosomal RNA
Rfam family: Bacterial small subunit ribosomal RNA
Source: RNAcentral
UGGGGAAUAUUGCACAAUGGGCGCAAGCCUGAUGCAGCCAUGCCGCGUGUAUGAAGAAGGCCAUCGGGUUGUAAAGUACUUUCAGCGGGGAGGAAGGUGUUGAGGCUAAUAACCUCAGCAAUUGACGUUACCCGCAGAAGAAGCACCGGCUAACUCCGUGCCAGCAGCCGCGGUAAUACGGAGGGUGCAAGCGUUAAUCGGAAUUACUGGGCGUAAAGCGCACGCAGGCGGUCUGUCAAGUCGGAUGUGAAAUCCCCGGGCUCAACCUGGGAACUGCAUUCGAAACUGGCAGGCUAGAGUCUUGUAGAGGGGGGUAGAAUUCCAGGUGUAGCGGUGAAAUGCGUAGAGAUCUGGAGGAAUACCGGUGGCGAAGGCGGCCCCCUGGACAAAGACUGACGCUCAGGUGCGAAAGCGUGGGGAGCAAACA